CCCCACGCCGUCCGCCCCCAAGCCCCCACGCCCCACGACGCCAGUCCCUAUGACGCCACGCCCGGGCAGCUGUGCGGGAAGGCGGCAGAACCCUGCGGCUGCGGGUGGAGCUGGCCGGCGGGGACUCUAGGGGACCGUCAGCUUUCAAAGGAGCCCCCUCCAAAACAGUGUUUCUGAAGCCCGGGAACAGACGCUCCGUCCGCCAGCGCUCAGAGAGGCCGCGGUUGAACUCCAAUAGCAGGAGAGCGGCUUUGAGUCGGCCCGAGAGGACCCUGUUUCUGAUGACAACGUGCAGGUGACUCAUUUGUCAUUUGACAAAGACGCUCUGAGCUCCUACCAGGUGCCAGACGUUAAGGCAUUAGGUGCCUGAUGGAGAACAGAGGUGGGGCGGUUAACUAAGAUGCAGCCUGUUUUCAUGGGACGCACGUUGUGAUUAAUGAGAGUGAGGAGGAGGAAAUAAGCGAAGAGCAAAAGAAACCAAGUAAAUGAGAAUUUCGGUGGCGGUAUGUGGUAUAGCUUACAACUGUGGUACAAUGGCCUGUAGUUCAUCCUUUCCACGGACCUGCCAGCGAAAUGAUGGCAAAGAUGCUUAAAACGUUGAGACAUUCUGCUGUCCCCGUUUCAUUGGAGAACGUGGUGGCACAGAACAGAGCUGACCUUCCGGUGGUCCCUUUUUCUCUUUAUUUCCACAACCCCACUGCUUGUUUUUCCCCACAUCUUAUUGGCUUCUCUUUCUCAUUAGCCUUUGCUUGACUUCUGGAUUUUAUAGUCGACGAGGUCUUGGUCCUGGGCGACCUCAUUUCCCUGUUGAUCCUCCUCCUCUGAGUCGUCUCGUGAAUUCCCCACGUUGUCAGGGCUGUAACUGCCAUCUGUGAGCUUAUGGCCCCCAGAUGGAUCUGUCCUUCCCCCUCUCUUCCUGGACUCCAGAUCUGAGUGUGAAAUGCCCACUGACCUCUCCGUCUCUCACUGCUGCUCACCCAUGUACAGUCCCUUCAAGAAGUUUUCUGCGGUCAACCCUCUAAAAUAUUGACUUACAUCCUUCCCGCCCACCUUGGUACAGUCUGCCUCCCCUUCUCCCCCGUUCAGCUGAAAAGGCCUUCGAACCGCUCCUCUUGUUUCUAACUUUGCCCUCUUAGUCCGUUCACUACAAAUCAGCCAGACUUACCUUUUUUUAAAAAAUUUUUUUUUUCAACGUUUAUUUAUUUUUGGGACAGAGAGAGACAGAGCAUGAACGGGGGAGGGGCAGAGAGAGAGGGAGACACAG
Long non-coding RNA from Felis catus (domestic cat), 1264 nucleotides. RefSeq lists it as uncharacterized. The transcript has 3 exons. Lineage: Eukaryota; Metazoa; Chordata; Mammalia; Carnivora; Felidae. The record is from RefSeq and is a predicted model, not a curated record.